CGCGUGCUUACACAUGCAGUCGAACGAUGAAAGCAGGAGCUUGCUUUUGCUGGAUUAGUGGCGAACGGGUGAGUAACACGUGAGUAACCUGCCCUUGACUCUGGGAUAAGCGUUGGAAACGACGUCUAAUACCGGAUACGAGCUAGGACCGCAUGGUCACUAGCUGGAAAGAAUUUCGGUCAAGGAUGGACUCGCGGCCUAUCAGCUAGUUGGUGAGGUAACGGCCCACCAAGGCGACGACGGGUAGCCGGCCUGAGAGGGUGACCGGCCACACUGGGACUGAGACACGGCCCAGACUCCUACGGGAGGCAGCAGUGGGGAAUAUUGCACAAUGGGCGCAAGCCUGAUGCAGCAACGCCGCGUGAGGGACGACGGCCUUCGGGUUGUAAACCUCUUUUAGCAGGGAAGAAGCGAAAGUGACGGUACCUGCAGAAAAAGCACCGGCUAACUACGUGCCAGCAGCCGCGGUAAUACGUAGGGUGCAAGCGUUGUCCGGAAUUAUUGGGCGUAAAGAGCUCGUAGGCGGUUUGUCGCGUCUGCUGUGAAAAUCCGAGGCUCAACCUCGGACCUGCAGUGGGUACGGGCAAACUAGAGUGCGGUAGGGGAGAUUGGAAUUCCUGGUGUAGCGGUGGAAUGCGCAGAUAUCAGGAGGAACACCAAUGGCGAAGGCAGAUCUCUGGGCCGUAACUGACGCUGAGGAGCGAAAGCGUGGGGAGCGAACAGGAUUAGAUACCCUGGUAGUCCACGCCGUAAACGGUGGGAACUAGAUGUGGGGUCCGUUCC
Molecule: ribosomal RNA, 783 nt
Filed under: uncultured bacterium
Lineage: Bacteria
Description: bacterial SSU rRNA
Rfam family: Bacterial small subunit ribosomal RNA
Source: RNAcentral